Molecule: long non-coding RNA, 861 nt
Organism: Colias croceus (clouded yellow)
Lineage: Eukaryota; Metazoa; Arthropoda; Insecta; Lepidoptera; Pieridae
Exons: 3
Source: RefSeq, a predicted model, not a curated record
UUUAAGUGAUCCUAGUAAACUGACCGAGUUUUCUAAACAAAUUAUUAUUUACAUUGCAGGGUUUGUUGUAAGUCAAUUGAAAAAAGAACUUAAGUGUCCUGAUUGUACGUCAGUUUUGACUGCUGAUAAAUUUUGCAUUUACUGCGCGCCAGCCCGGAGCAAUUUUCUGCUCUAAUAGAAUUCAUGGAAAGGUAUGGUGACCUCUCUCGACCUCAGCGGGGACUUCAGGGUGUAGUAAAAGCCGACCAAAUGUGGGAAAGGCUGACAGUCUUAUUAAAUUCAGUUGGUGGUGGGGUAAAUAAAUCACAAGAUAUUGUGGAAGAAAGAAUCGCAGCUUAACGCCAUUUGACCGGGCAGCGACAGAAUUUGUGACGGUUGAACAAAGACGCCUUGCACUGGAGGAGACGCGAGAGAAGCUCCUCCAUGAGCGGGAAAGGGAACGGGAAAAACUCUUACAUGAACGAGAAAGGGAGCGUGAGCAGCUCCUCCAUGAAAGAGAAAUGGAGCGACUGCGACUGGAGUCGCAAAAGUGUGAGGCAAAUCGCGAGCAAUCCCGCGUGGUGCAGCAAAUAGCUGUUAUCGGGCAAAGGUUGCUCGAGAGAUUGCUUCAAGGGCCAUUAUCUUAAAUGUAUAAUAGCGGCAGUACACAUGGGGCCAAGGUGUUGGGCCAACGUAUUGGGAAAAAAUGAAGGAUAUCAAGAUUCCUGUUCACACAUUGGCUUACUGAUUAUUCUGCAUUGGCGCUUCAAAGAUGGACGUAGGCCGUAGAAGUUCUUGCAGCCGCGGCAAUUUAUUUAUACAGUACGUUUAAUUAUUACGUCCAUGUGCACCAAUAACAAUGAGUGUACUCAGCCGUCUGCG